This 603-nucleotide long non-coding RNA is filed under the name Mustela putorius furo (domestic ferret). RNAcentral's name for it is "lncRNA (ENSMPUG00000025123.1)". The record is from RNAcentral. Lineage: Eukaryota; Metazoa; Chordata; Mammalia; Carnivora; Mustelidae.
AGACGUUCGUAGAAGCCACCGUCUCAUCACUGAUGAUAAAUAAAAAAGUUUCUUGCCAAUGGGGGAUGAAUGGGUCAGCCUUUCGUAGAAGUCACAACAGAAUUCCACUUUGGGAGGCAGCCUCCUUUACAAGUCAGAUGUGGACCUCAGCCGUGCCGUUUCUUGUCAACUGCCAGCUCACCUGCCCCCGACACUGGACAUACGUGUCUCCAUGUCUGUCAGUGACCUGUUGAGGGGCCCGCAGAUUUUCUGUGUGCACUUCCUGUGUGCUUCUACCUCUCUGCUCAGGCAGCAGGUGAGAGAAGUCACUUCCUUUCCUUCAUCGUCAAAACAUUAAAUUGGAGGUUUUUAGAUCCCAUCCCUAUAGCAACCAUAUUUAUAUGUCCCUACAACCAAAGAUGUAGAUAUCAGGAUCUGUAUUUUUUAUGUCCUAUAGCCUAAAGUCAACGUGCAAAUUGUCUUAAAGAAAGUGAGUUGUUAUUUCCAGUGUUAAUGCAGUGUGACAGUAAAUGCAUUCUGCUGUCCAGUUUCCAACGGAGUUACACAAUCAUACCUGGUGUGCCUCCUUGAAAACCCUUUUGUUUUAAAGUUCCAUAAAGAAAG